RNAcentral lists this ribosomal RNA (253 nucleotides) under uncultured bacterium. Its description in RNAcentral is "partial 16S ribosomal RNA". It matches the Rfam family "Bacterial small subunit ribosomal RNA", at positions 524 to 776 of the family's 1533-position model. The record is from RNAcentral.
UACGUAGGGUGCAAGCGUUAAUCGGAAUUACUGGGCGUAAAGCGUGCGCAGGCGGUUGUGCAAGACCGAUGUGAAAUCCCCGGGCUUAACCUGGGAAUGGCAUUGGUGACUGCACGGCUAGAGUGUGUCAGAGGGGGGUAGAAUUCCCCGUGUAGCAGUGAAAUGCGUAGAGAUGUGGAGGAAUACCGAUGGCGAAGGCAGCCCCCUGGGAUAACACUGACGCUCAUGCACGAAAGCGUGGGGAGCAAGCAGG